This 312-nucleotide ribosomal RNA is filed under the name Salmonella enterica subsp. enterica serovar Typhimurium. Its description in RNAcentral is "partial 23S ribosomal RNA". It matches the Rfam family "Bacterial large subunit ribosomal RNA", at positions 453 to 666 of the family's 2925-position model. The record is from RNAcentral. Lineage: Bacteria; Pseudomonadati; Pseudomonadota; Gammaproteobacteria; Enterobacterales; Enterobacteriaceae.
CCAUCCUCCAAGGCUAAAUACUCCUGACUGACCGAUAGUGAACCAGUACCGUGAGGGAAAGGCGAAAAGAACCCCGGGAGGGGAGUGAAAAAGAACCUGAAACCGUGUACGUACAAGCAGUGGGAGCCCCACCACCAAAGCAUUCUCUGGUGUUGAAGGCCCUGCAAAGCAGCAUCGCGGUGGCGGAGCGUCGUUUGCGACGCCCAACACACAAAACAAGCGGUGAAUGCUUUGGGGUGGGGUGACUGCGUACCUUUUGUAUAAUGGGUCAGCGACUUAUAUUCUGUAGCAAGGUUAACCGAAUAGGGGAGC